Molecule: long non-coding RNA, 747 nt
Filed under: Felis catus (domestic cat)
Lineage: Eukaryota; Metazoa; Chordata; Mammalia; Carnivora; Felidae
Description: lncRNA (ENSFCAG00000043683.2)
Source: RNAcentral
AGAAUUGUCCUUUAUCUUACUAUUUCUUUUCUUUUUGAUAAAAUUUUAAAAAUUCUUUCUUUGUUUCUUUCUUUUUUUUAGGUGUUUUGAGAAAGAGAAAGAGAGAGAGAGAAUGCGAGCUGGGGGAAGGGUAGAGAGAAAGGGAGACACAGAAUUCAAAGCACGCUCCAGGCUCUGAGCUGUCAGCACAGAGCCCACCGUGGGACUCAAACACAUGAACUGUGAGAUCAUGACCUGAGCUGAAGUCAGAUGCUUAACCGACUGAGCCACCCGGGCACCCCUUCAUCUUACUGUUUCUAACCAUGACUUGGGGAUGACUCCAUGUUUGGGAAUAUUGUGUGGGCCGCCUGUUGGGAUGCAAGGCAUGUUGGUCUAACUCUUGGGAAAUGACUUGUCUGGGAGGCCAGCUGACACCAGCAAAUAUAAAGUUGAAGGGAAACAUCAACGGCUACCACCAAUCAUCCUCGCCGGCCUUCUGAUUCUCGGGAUGGACGUCACCUUCUCGUCAUCCUCUGCUGCCCUGUGCGCGUAGCUGCCUCGGCCACCUCGUCUUCCCCUCCAUCCUCUUGCUCCCGCGUCUCCCUCACUGCAGGCCUCCUGCGCCCACCUUCCUCUGAGCGCUCCCACCGGCAGGUGCUUCCCUUCUGCUCUGCCUCCCGCACAACCUCCCUCUCCCCUAAGUGCGCCGUGGUCAUCUCCGAGCUGGUGCCCACGGCCGUGCCUGACACCGCGGGGCACGCGGAUUAA